GUGGGGAAUAUUGGACAAUGGGCGAAAGCCUGAUCCAGCCAUGCCGCGUGUGUGAAGAAGGUCUUCGGAUUGUAAAGCACUUUAAGUUGGGAGGAAGGGUAGUAACCUAAUACGUUGCUACUUUGACGUUACCGACAGAAUAAGCACCGGCUAACUUCGUGCCAGCAGCCGCGGUAAUACGAAGGGUGCAAGCGUUAAUCGGAAUUACUGGGCGUAAAGCGCGCGUAGGUGGUUCAGUAAGUUGGAAGUGAAAUCCCCGGGCUCAACCUGGGAACUGCUUUCAAAACUGCUGAGAUAGAGUACGGUAGAGGGUGGUGGAAUUUCCUGUGUAGCGGUGAAAUGCGUAGAUAUAGGAAGGAACACCAGUGGCGAAGGCGACCACCUGGACUGAUACUGACACUGAGGUGCGAAAGCGUGGGGAGCAAACAGGAUUAGAAACCCCAGUAGUCC
Molecule: ribosomal RNA, 450 nt
Filed under: uncultured bacterium
Lineage: Bacteria
Description: bacterial SSU rRNA
Rfam family: Bacterial small subunit ribosomal RNA
Source: RNAcentral